RNAcentral lists this long non-coding RNA (929 nucleotides) under Vigna radiata. RNAcentral's name for it is "long non-coding RNA (VRAD_LNC009993)". The record is from RNAcentral. Lineage: Eukaryota; Viridiplantae; Streptophyta; Magnoliopsida; Fabales; Fabaceae.
CUUGUAUGCGUUACUUGCUUUUCAAAACCAUUCUAGAACCUUUCUUAAGUUCAUUUUGAGUGCCACCUUUCAUUGGAAACCAUUUAAUUGCUUGAUUUAAGUUGUUGAAAAUCCUGCACAUAAGUUGUUUGACAAAAUUAUGGCUGUGCAAUCUGGUUUAGCAGUUUCUGAGCAGCAGCAGAGUUGAAUUUUUGGAUUCCUAAUUGGACAUUNGUGGUCUGUGUGAGUUCUAGACUGGUGCAGAAGCUAGUACAGGUUGUCUCCUAACACUGGUAGAAUUCUAGGAAGGAGAUUGGAGCAAGGAAAGCUCAUACGGAAGUUGCUUUCUGGUGCAGCAGUUUGGUGUUUGGACUGCACAAUUUCUUUUUCUGGUGUUGCAACAGCAGAGUGCCUUUCAUUGCAACUGUGAGAUUUGUGUAAAAUUUACCUAUAUCCUUUCAUUUGAGAGAAACCAAAGCUGCACACCACUUUGUUUUUACCAUUGUUGAGUGUUGAAACAACCAUUGUGCAUAAGCACCAUAUCUGCCGUGUGAGAUUUGUUAGUGAUUUAGCAGUUUUCUUGACCGAGAGAAAAGAGUGCAGUAGCUAAAAUCUAUGAUGCAUCAAGCCUCAUUUGAGAGUAGUUACUGCAAGUUUGUGAGAAACUUUGGAGUGACUAAAAUCAGUGUAGAACAUGAGUGUUGAGUGUUGCACCUAAAGUCCACUAGNUUUGACUGCAAGAAGGAGUUUUCCUAUUUGAAAUGCUGCAUUCAAUUAUUGUUUUAGUCAUGACAUAUCAUUCAGAUUUAGAAAAUUGAAAUUGUGACAUAAUUACACUUGUACAUUCACUUAUUUGAGUGCAACUCACAUAGUCAAAUUGACUUUUGGAACAAAAUUGAGAAAACUGGUUUUAUUUUGUUUAUUUGGACAUUAAUUUGGACUUGAACAGU